Molecule: long non-coding RNA, 1274 nt
Organism: Panicum hallii
Lineage: Eukaryota; Viridiplantae; Streptophyta; Magnoliopsida; Poales; Poaceae
Exons: 2
Source: RefSeq, a predicted model, not a curated record
AGGUGCAGCGGCUUGCUGAUUACUCUGGCGGCGGCAGCGGCGUGAGGCGGAAAGCCGUGGCGCGAGGCGCGUCGAGACGUGUUCGUGGAGGUGCCGCACCCGCUCGAGCCUCCGGCGACGCUUGUCACGGUCCCCCCGUGCCGCUGUGACCCGUGUUAACGGGGUCGGCCGGCCGGGGAGAAGAGGGAGGGUGCACGGAGGCGGCGGCGCCGUGGAGGACGAGGACGAGCGGCCGCGGAUGAAGACCGACGCGCCGUCCCCUACGACGAGAGGUACGCUUGAUCUACUCCCCGACCUCGAUCACAUGCCGCUACCUGCCCUGCGUCUCCUCUGCGUCGAGGGCGUUCCGAACUAGAGCUCUGCGGGACAGCGGGAGGCAACUGGCUCGUCGAUCAGACGCCAUAUUCCCUGCCCACUACGCAGCGGUAAGCAAAUGCCAUCCUCCGACACAGGCGCACAGCCAGCCACGCGCGGGGGCCGCCGUUCGGCAGCAUCUGUGGAGGAGCUGGGGACUGAAUUCCGCGCCGGCUGAGAUCAGAGCCACUGUAUAGGCGUCGAAUCUCUAAGGGGAUCACCGGGAUGCAUCGCGACGGUGGGUGGCGGAGGUCGCCGGUGGCGGCGGGGCUCGUCGGCUUCUCCAGCGCCAGCCCGGAACAUUUGCAAAACACCCCCCUGAUUUGGAUCGCGAUUACUAAUCGCGAUCCAAAUUAGGGGUAUUCAUGUAAACAUGUGGAUCAAAUAUUUAUAAACUACCUCUAGUUUGGAUCGCAAUUAAACGAGGGGUCCUUCUGAAAACCAUACAAAAUUCUUCAGAAAGCCCUCAGGAGUCCGGACCCCCCUCCCGCCCCUUCUCCGACGGCCGCCGCCGUCCUCCCCAACUACCGCCUCGUGUCGUGCUUCCGUAGCAAUGGCCGAAAGGUGGCGCGCGAUUCGCUUCCAGCUAGAGCUCACGCAACCGGGGCGUGGCGGCCUCGUCCCCUCCAGGAGCACGUCUCUGCUUGUCGGAUCCCGUGCCGCAACCACACGCGACUCCGCAGCUGCUAGCCCCGGCACGAUUAGUGGUCUGAUGAUUGCUACGGAACAGUACCGGCAAUGGUGAGGCAGUGUCCGGCUGUACUAGAAUUGCUUGGAGGGGAGAAGUUUUGGUCUCUUGCAGCUGUACUGCUUUGGGAGGGCUAGCAGUAAAUUAGGGCAUCAUUUGCAGUCUGAAAUUCUGGGAUGCGCAUGAGCUUAUGUGCUGCUUUUUCUGCUAUUCUGAAGCUUUAAAUUUUGAU